UUGUAUAAUGAACUAUAAUUUUAGUUGCUGUAGUUGUCAUAAUUUUCAAGUUGUAAUAAUAAUUGUUCUUGUUUUAAUUGCAUUUAGAAUGCCUACAGUAUGAAUUGAAGGACACAAUAAGAAGUCCGACUCCAUCAGCAUCAGCUACAAAUCAAACAAUCGAAAUUUGAUAGCCAAUUGCCAAUCACUAAAAUU
Molecule: long non-coding RNA, 195 nt
Organism: Amphimedon queenslandica
Lineage: Eukaryota; Metazoa; Porifera; Demospongiae; Haplosclerida; Niphatidae
Exons: 3
Source: RefSeq, a predicted model, not a curated record